GCCCUAGCUUAGUGGUAGAGAACAUUUGCUGCAUGCAAAAGGUCCCAGUUCAACCUCUGGGAUCUCCU
Podarcis lilfordi (Lilford's wall lizard) is the source of this 68-nucleotide non-coding RNA. The record is from the annotation of a GenBank genome assembly. NCBI's taxonomy places the organism in Eukaryota, Metazoa, Chordata, Lepidosauria, Squamata, Lacertidae.